UACGCAGGGGGCAAGCGUUGUCCGGAUUUAUUGGGCGUAAAGAGCUCGUAGGUGGUUCGGUAAGUCGGAUGUGAAAUCUCCAGGCUCAACCUGGAGGGGUCAUUCGAUACUGCCGUGACUAGAGUUCGGUAGGGGAGUGUGGAAUUCCUGGUGGAGCGGUGAAAUGCGCAGAUAUCAGGAGGAACACCCGUAGCGAAGGCGGCACUCUGGGCCGAUACUGACACUGAGGAGCGAAAGCAUGGGGAGCGAACAGG
Molecule: ribosomal RNA, 254 nt
Filed under: uncultured bacterium
Lineage: Bacteria
Description: partial 16S ribosomal RNA
Rfam family: Bacterial small subunit ribosomal RNA
Source: RNAcentral